CUUGUACUCCCUCUGUCCUGAAAAGCUUGUCCCAAGCUUGUUCCUCAAAUGGAUGUAUCUAGCACUAACUUAGUGCUAGAUACAUUCAUUUGAGAAACAAGCUUUUCCAGACGGAGGGAGUACCUA
Non-coding RNA from Triticum aestivum (bread wheat), 126 nucleotides. Lineage: Eukaryota; Viridiplantae; Streptophyta; Magnoliopsida; Poales; Poaceae. The record is from Rfam.